UUUUGAAUCUGAGAGACAGAGGUUGCAGUGAGCCGAGAUCAUGCCACUUCACUCCAGCCUGGGCAACAAAGCUGGACUCUGCCUCAGGAAAAAAAAAAAGAAAGAAAGAAAGAAAAGAGAAGUACUUCUUUACCAUAAAGAAUAUACAGAGACCUGAAGGAGUCAAAUUCAGGCAAAUAUCUGGGAAUCAGGGACUACACGGAAUCAGAUCAAACUGGAGCUGUGUGUAGAAGACAUGUGAGCAGUGAGGACUGCAGAAGCUAUGCAAGAACUAGAGACAGAAAGUUCUGAAACUAUCUUCGCCUUAGGAACAGACUUUCUCUUCUAGCUGUAGCAAAAACCAGUAAUGGUUUCCCAGGCAACAUCCAGUCUGGCAUAACCUGGAAGUUCAUGUGUUUCUGCAGUGCAGUAUCAUCUCUUGAUGGGCAAAUUUUGACAUAAUUUUCCAGACUUUUAACCAAUCAAGGAAUGGAAGCUUUGAAUGUUCUACUGAGUAUCAACUCCCUGUCGUUGCAAAUAUUAACCCUUCUGUUAUGUGCAAAGAGCUCUUAAUGAAUUCUCAUUAUCUUAGUAGCACAUUAGAAUCAGGUUCUCAAAGCCUGAAUGCUUCAUAAGUAUCCUCUAGGUGAUAUUUAUAUUUUAUUUGUGGUGCUUACAAUGAAUAUAGAUAAUUGUAUAUUUGUAACAUCAAUAUACUAACUAAUGUGAUACUUGAUCUAAAUGGCUUUAAAUAUUU
Piliocolobus tephrosceles (Ugandan red Colobus) is the source of this 736-nucleotide long non-coding RNA. RefSeq lists it as uncharacterized. The record is from RefSeq and is a predicted model, not a curated record. The transcript has 2 exons. NCBI's taxonomy places the organism in Eukaryota, Metazoa, Chordata, Mammalia, Primates, Cercopithecidae.